Molecule: ribosomal RNA, 588 nt
Filed under: uncultured Gammaproteobacteria bacterium
Lineage: Bacteria; Pseudomonadati; Pseudomonadota; Gammaproteobacteria
Description: bacterial SSU rRNA
Rfam family: Bacterial small subunit ribosomal RNA
Source: RNAcentral
UCCUACGGGAGGCAGCAGUGGGGAAUAUUGCACAAUGGGCGAAAGCCUGAUGCAGCCAUGCCGCGUGUGUGAAGAAGGCCUUCGGGUUGUAAAGCACUUUCAGCGAGGAGGAAAGGUUAGUAGUUAAUAACUGCUAGCUGUGACGUUACUCGCAGAAGAAGCACCGGCUAACUUCGUGCCAGCAGCCGCGGUAAUACGAGGGGUGCAAGCGUUAAUCGGAAUUACUGGGCGUAAAGCGUGCGUAGGUGGUUUGUUAAGCAAGAUGUGAAAGCCCUGGGCUCAACCUGGGAACUGCAUUUUGAACUGGCAAGCUAGAGUUUUGUAGAGGGUAGUGGAAUUUCCAGUGUAGCGGUGAAAUGCGUAGAGAUUGGAAGGAACAUCAGUGGCGAAGGCGGCUACCUGGACAAAGACUGACACUGAGGCACGAAAGCGUGGGGAGCAAACAGGAUUAGAUACCCUGGUAGUCCACGCCGUAAACGAUGUCAACUAGCCGUCUGUAGACUUGAUCUGUGGGUGGCGUAGCUAACGCGYUAAGUUGACCGCCUGGGGAGUACGGCCGCAAGGUUAAAACUCAUGGAAAUUGACGGA